RNAcentral lists this long non-coding RNA (1792 nucleotides) under Equus asinus (donkey). Its description in RNAcentral is "lncRNA (ENSEASG00005024404.1)". The record is from RNAcentral. Lineage: Eukaryota; Metazoa; Chordata; Mammalia; Perissodactyla; Equidae.
GCGCAAGCCCCCAGACCCAACUAACCACAGAGUGGGUGGGGCCAAGGCAAUUGUGUUUCUAGCCAAGGCAACGGAAAAAGUUGUCCAGGGCUGUCCAGUGGCAAUAUAUAAUGUGAGCUGGAUAUGUAAUUCUAAAUUUUCUAUCAACCUUAGAAAAGAAACAGAUGAAAUUAAUUUUAAUAAUAUAUUUUAUUUAAUCUAAUCUAUCGAAAUGGUCAUUUCAAUGUCAUCAAUAUAAAAAUAUUAACAAAAUAAAUUCUCUUUUUUGUACUCUUUGAAAUAUGGUGUGUAUUUUAGACUGACGGCUCAUCUCUAUUUGGGGUAGUCAUGAUUCAAGUGCUGUAUUAAUUUUCAGCUGCUGCUCUGACACAUUCUCACAAAUUUCACGGCUCGAAACAGCACGAACUUAAUUAUCUUAUGAUUCUGGAGGUUAGAAGUCUGAACUGAGUCUUAUGGGGCUAAAUCAAGGUGUCAGCAGGGCUGUGCUCCUUCUGGAGGUUCCAGGGGAGAAUUCCAUCCAUGACUUUUUCAGCUUCUAGAGGCCGCCCGCAUUCCAUCUGUCCGUCCAUCUUCAAAGCACGUCCUUCUAUGAUCUGCAUCCCUCGUCCCAUCCUCUCUUGCUCUGCUUGGUCACUGAUUUGCCUUCUCUGACUCUCACCCUCCUGACUCCCCUUUUUACGACCCUCGUGAUUAUAUUGGGCCCCCCAAAUAAUCCAGGAUAACCUCCCCAUCUCAAGAUCCUUAAUCUCAUCUGCAAAGUCCCUUUUGCCGGGUAAGGUGGCAUAGUCACAGGUUUGGGGAUGAGGAUGUGGAUGUCUCGGAGGGCGGCGAUUCAGCCUGCCACACAUGCUUCAUGCCACAUGUGUGAGCGGCUGCUGUCCUGGAUGGGACAGUGUUAGGGAAUUUAGGCGGAAGGUCUAGCGAGAUUUCCUAGCUCCACGCUCCAGCUCAGCCACUCACUCACUGUGGGAUCUGGGACAGGUCACUCUAUAUGCCUGGUUGACUGUACCUUCCUUGUACAUAAAGUGGGGUUGGCAACAACCCAUGCUUGGGAAAAUGCAACAAGCUACCAGAGAGAUAAGUGCUUAUUUCACUGUAAAAGGAGAGGGGGUCCAACUGGCAGGUGGGAGGGGGCGCUGCCCUGUCGGGGGAGACUUGAAUGCUGGGUGGGUCCUCAGAGGCCUUGGGAUUUAGCUGCCUCAUUUUACAGAUGGGAAAACUGAGGCCCAGCAGGGAGAAGAGGCUUGCCAGAGGGUCCCCAGAGAGUUGGUAGCUGAGCCAGAAAGGGGAUCCUGUGGGUGCACUGCUCCCCACCAUGUCACACUGCCUGUCCCCUCUGUGACCUCAGCUUCCUCAUCUAUAAAACGCAAAUAAGAGCGGCAUAUUUUCAGGCCCGUUGUGAAGAUGCAGGGAUGUCUCAGGUGCCAAUGGUCAAACCAUGCCCGAGUCGAACUCUCACCUGCCCUAGGGGGCAAGGCUGCAGGCUGGCGGUAGCCAGGCCAGAGGCAGGAACAGAACAGGAAACCCAGGGUGGCUUCCGUCUGUCAGCUUCUCCCCUCCCUGCCAGCAUCCCAGCUCCAUCCUGAACCUCGGGCCGGGCAGGGCUGUCCUGUGGAGCUGCAAGGGGACCUCUGCACCAGAAGGAGUGGGUGCUGGCAUCCAUGACCGGGAUGCCACAGUGUACAAAGCUAGUGGCUUCUGAGACCUUGGCAUCCUCACAACACCAUGAAGUUAGAAUUUUCACCCACACGGCAAAAGUGGAAACUGAGGCUUCGCAAGUAGCGCGGGUAAG